RNAcentral lists this ribosomal RNA (253 nucleotides) under uncultured bacterium. RNAcentral describes it as "partial 16S ribosomal RNA". It matches the Rfam family "Bacterial small subunit ribosomal RNA", at positions 524 to 776 of the family's 1533-position model. The record is from RNAcentral.
UACCUAGGUGGCAAGCGUUGUCCGGAUUUACUGGGUGUAAAGGGCGUGUAGCCGGGCUGACAAGUCAGAUGUGAAAUUCCGGGGCUCAACCCCGGACCUGCAUUUGAAACUGUUGGUCUUGAGUAUCGGAGAGGCAGGCGGAAUUCCUAGUGUAGCGGUGAAAUGCGUAGAUAUUAGGAGGAACACCAGUGGCGAAAGCGGCCUGCUGGACCGAAACUGACGUUGAGGCUCGAAAGCGUGGGGAGCAAACAGG